RNAcentral lists this ribosomal RNA (766 nucleotides) under Gulosibacter faecalis. RNAcentral describes it as "bacterial SSU rRNA". It matches the Rfam family "Bacterial small subunit ribosomal RNA", at positions 64 to 840 of the family's 1533-position model. The record is from RNAcentral. Lineage: Bacteria; Bacillati; Actinomycetota; Actinomycetes; Micrococcales; Microbacteriaceae.
GAACGAUGAAGCCCAGCUUGCUGGGUGGAUUAGUGGCGAACGGGUGAGUAACACGUGAGCAACGUGCCCGAGACUCUGGAAUAACUACCGGAAACGGUGGCUAAUACUGGAUAUGUGCCAGGGAGGCAUCUCCUCUGGUUGGAAAGAUUUUUCGGUUUCGGAUCGGCUCACGGCCUAUCAGCUUGUUGGUGGGGUAAUGGCCUACCAAGGCGACGACGGGUAGCCGGCCUGAGAGGGUGACCGGCCACACUGGGACUGAGACACGGCCCAGACUCCUACGGGAGGCAGCAGUGGGGAAUAUUGCACAAUGGGCGCAAGCCUGAUGCAGCAACGCCGCGUGAGGGAUGACGGCCUUCGGGUUGUAAACCUCUUUUAGUAGGGAAGAAGCGCAAGUGACGGUACCUGCAGAAAAAGCACCGGCUAACUACGUGCCAGCAGCCGCGGUAAUACGUAGGGUGCAAGCGUUGUCCGGAAUUAUUGGGCGUAAAGAGCUCGUAGGCGGUUUGUCGCGUCUGCUGUGAAAUCCCGAGGCUCAACCUCGGGCCUGCAGUGGGUACGGGCAGACUUGAGUGCGGUAGGGGAGAUUGGAAUUCCUGGUGUAGCGGUGGAAUGCGCAGAUAUCAGGAGGAACACCGAUGGCGAAGGCAGAUCUCUGGGCCGUUACUGACGCUGAGGAGCGAAAGCAUGGGGAGCGAACAGGAUUAGAUACCCUGGUAGUCCAUGCCGUAAACGUUGGGCGCUAGAUGUGGGGACCAUUCCACGGUUU